CUGGUACUGUACUUUUCAUUUCACACAUCACAAAUUUACAUCUUCAAAAGCUGGCAAACGUCAACACCUCGGGAAAACAGAGUGUGAAAUAUAUGGACAUCUGCUCACCUGGAACAGCCGUAAUCCCAGAGAAAAUUGUAGUCUGCUGGGCUGGGCCGUCAUUGGGCUUUAGUUCCCAUGACCUGACUUAGGGCUAUCUUCAAGCUUCUUCGCUUCAUAUGGCAUAAAAACCCGGCCAGCACAUUCCCCAAAGUAGGCUGCUAGUGAAACCGGAAACUUGUUUCAACAGAAAGUCAACAAUGAAGUCGUUGUGUUCCACUGGAGGGAGACGGGCUUGGAGGAGCUCAGCUUUCCGCUGUGGUGUAACACGUCCAGUGGGCCUUCCUCUCCAGCGCAGGCCCGCUGAGCCGGGCGUCAGCAUUCCGCAGAUACCUGGCCUCCCACCUCAUUCAGCAAGGAAAAGCUCCACACUGGCUGUGAAUCGGGGACGUGAAGGAAGAGAAAGAACCUGCCACGUGAAGACCUCAGGAAACCUGAAGUCAACUUUCUUUUGGUUAAAGAGCAAGGCCUCCUGAUGCUUGAGCACCAGCUCUGCCACUUCCUGGUCAUGCAGCCCUAGGCUUGCCUCUCCUUGCCAGGGCGAACUUGGAACGGUGACCUCAGUGAUGAAGAUGUUGGGGAUUAAAAUCCUGAUGCGUGGUCGGGGGCACCAAGAUGGAGGCCUCAGCUGUUCUCAAGACGGGGCUGCCUUGCUGGCUGCCACAUCAGGGCCACCAUCACCUCUCACCUGGGGCUUGCAGUAUCCUUUCCUUGGACAACAAAGCUGACAAUGAGGGGUCUUCCUGCAGGAUGUGUCCUGAUGGUCUCUGGCUGGAGGAAAUUGAAGGUGUUGCCAAGUGUAAGUAAAAGUGCAGUGUCAGUACAAGAUGAGCUGGAGCCCUCCCCUGCCCCAAAUAUUGAAAAAUAGAUCAAGAAAACAAUGUACAAAGAAAAAAAGAUGGGGACAAAUGAGAAACAUGAAGUAACUUGCCUUCAGUCACCCUGCUGGAUGCCCAGUUCUCACUCUGCUAUCCCAGGCUGCCAUCUUGCCUGUGCUCUUGUCACAGUAUGGCUAGAAGGAGACCAGCCUAACAGAUGGAGAACUGGGGCCCAGAGAGGGGAAUGGAGUGGUCUAAGGCUACACUUGGAGUUCAAGACUGUUUGUCUUCGACGGCAGGCACCAUCAAGUGGCGCCCGAACAGGGACCUGAAGUACGGAGGAGAACAUGAGAGCCACCGCGAGAUAAUAGUGCGCACGAAGCAGGCCCUGCCCUGCCGGAGAUGAUGUUUCCAAAGAAGUGCGACAGCCCUGCUCUUGGCUUCCCCUCGCAUCUGCGACCUGCUGCUGGGCCUGUCUUAUUUGGGAAAUAGAGAGAAAGAGCCCAAGCAGGAAAGCACAAGCCUGAGCCAGAGAGAGAGAGAGGAGGGAGGGACACAAGUCAACAAGCACAGCCACAGCCCUCACAAGAACGGAAAGGAAACCCGUCGCUUCGGUGGGCGACCCUAGAGGAGUGUCACCGAACGAAGGGAGUGUGCCAAGAGAGUUAUAUCAAAAGAAGCAUAAAAACAAACAUAAUCAAAGAGAACUUUCCCAAAUGAGUGACGUUCCACCAGUGACCAUUGGUGCUCUGGUAGAGGUAGAGUGAUGGGUGGUGAUGCUGGAGACGGAGGAG
Manis javanica (Malayan pangolin) is the source of this 1711-nucleotide non-coding RNA. NCBI's taxonomy places the organism in Eukaryota, Metazoa, Chordata, Mammalia, Pholidota, Manidae. The record is from RefSeq and is a predicted model, not a curated record.